ACACUCCUACGGGAGGCAGCAGUGAGGAAUAUUGGACAAUGGGUGGAAGCCUGAUCCAGCCAUCCCGCGUGCAGGAAGACGGCCCUAUGGGUUGUAAACUGCUUUUAUCUGGGGAUAAACCUACUUACGUGUAAGUAGCUGAAGGUACCAGAAGAAUAAGCACCGGCUAACUCCGUGCCAGCAGCCGCGGUAAUACGGAGGGUGCAAGCGUUAUCCGGAUUUAUUGGGUUUAAAGGGUCCGUAGGCGGACUGAUAAGUCAGUGGUGAAAUCCGACAGCUUAACUGUCGAACUGCCAAUGAUACUGUUAGUCUUGAGUAAGGUUGAAGUGGCUGGAAUAAGUAGUGUAGCGGUGAAAUGCAUAGAUAUUACUUAGAACACCAAUUGCGAAGGCAGGUCACUAAGUCUUAACUGACGCUGAUGGACGAAAGCGUGGGGAGCGAACAGGAUUAGAAACCCUAGUAGUCCCAU
RNAcentral lists this ribosomal RNA (469 nucleotides) under uncultured organism. RNAcentral describes it as "partial 16S ribosomal RNA". It matches the Rfam family "Bacterial small subunit ribosomal RNA", at positions 333 to 798 of the family's 1533-position model. The record is from RNAcentral.